GUGAGGAAUUUUCCGCAAUGGGCGAAAGCCUGACGGAGCAAUGCCGCGUGAAGGAUGAAGGCCUAUGGGUUGUAAACUUCUUUUCUCAGAAAAGAAUUAUGACGGUAUCUGAGGAAUAAGCAUCGGCUAACUCUGUGCCAGCAGCCGCGGUAAGACAGAGGAUGCAAGCGUUAUCCGGAAUGAUUGGGCGUAAAGCGUCUGUAGGUUGUUUAAAAAGUAUUCUGUCAAAGAUUAGGGCUUAACCCUAGAUAGGCAGAAUAAACUUUUAAGCUAGAGUUUGGUAGAGGCAGAGGGAAUUCCCGGUGGAGCGGUGAAAUGCGUAGAUAGCGGGAGGAACACCAAAGGCGAAGGCACUCUGCUGGGCCAAUACUAACACUGAGAGACGAAAGCGAGGGGAGCAAAUGGGAUUAGAUACCCUAGUAGUCC
RNAcentral lists this ribosomal RNA (426 nucleotides) under uncultured bacterium. Its description in RNAcentral is "bacterial SSU rRNA". It matches the Rfam family "Bacterial small subunit ribosomal RNA", at positions 354 to 796 of the family's 1533-position model. The record is from RNAcentral.